This 85-nucleotide transfer RNA is filed under the name Felis catus (domestic cat). It matches the Rfam family "tRNA". Rfam says of the family: Transfer RNA (tRNA) molecules are approximately 80 nucleotides in length. Their secondary structure includes four short double-helical elements and three loops (D, anti-codon, and T loops). Further hydrogen bonds mediate the characteristic L-shaped molecular structure. tRNAs have two regions of fundamental functional importance: the anti-codon, which is responsible for specific mRNA codon recognition, and the 3' end, to which the tRNAs corresponding amino acid is attached (by aminoacyl-tRNA synthetases). tRNAs cope with the degeneracy of the genetic code in two manners: having more than one tRNA (with a specific anti-codon) for a particular amino acid; and 'wobble' base-pairing, i.e. permitting non-standard base-pairing at the 3rd anti-codon position. The record is from Rfam by way of RNAcentral. Lineage: Eukaryota; Metazoa; Chordata; Mammalia; Carnivora; Felidae.
GCCUGGGUGGCUCAGUCGGUUGGGCGUCUGACUUCGGCUCAGGUCAGGAUCUCGUGGUUUGUGAGUUCGAGCCCCACGUCGGGCU